UACGAAGGGUGCAAGCGUUACUCGGAAUUACUGGGCGUAAAGCGUGCGUAGGUGGUUCGUUAAGUCAGAUGUGAAAGCCCCGGGCUCAACCUGGGAAUUGCAUUUGAUACUGGCGGACUAGAGUGCGGUAGAGGAGAGUGGAAUUCCCGGUGUAGCAGUGAAAUGCGUAGAGAUCGGGAGGAACAUCAGUUGCGAAGGCGGCUCUCUGGACCAGCACUGACACUGAGGCACGAAAGCGUGGGGAGCAAACAGG
This 253-nucleotide ribosomal RNA is filed under the name uncultured bacterium. Its description in RNAcentral is "partial 16S ribosomal RNA". It matches the Rfam family "Bacterial small subunit ribosomal RNA", at positions 524 to 776 of the family's 1533-position model. The record is from RNAcentral.